UACGUAGGGGGCAAGCGUUGUCCGGAUUUAUUGGGCGUAAAGAGCGUGUAGGCGGCCAGGUAGGUCGGUUGUGAAAACUCGAGGCUCAACCUCGAGAUGUCGACCGAAACCAUCUGGCUAGAGUCCGGAAGAGGAGAAUGGAAUUCCCGGUGUAGCGGUGAAAUGCGCAGAUAUCAGGAGGAACACCGGUGGCGAAGGCGGUUCUCUGGGCAUUACCUGACGCUGAGACGCGAAAGCGUGGGGAGCGAACAGG
RNAcentral lists this ribosomal RNA (253 nucleotides) under uncultured bacterium. RNAcentral describes it as "partial 16S ribosomal RNA". It matches the Rfam family "Bacterial small subunit ribosomal RNA", at positions 524 to 776 of the family's 1533-position model. The record is from RNAcentral.